This 23-nucleotide small nuclear RNA is filed under the name Arabidopsis thaliana (thale cress). Its description in RNAcentral is "snRNA_11945". Lineage: Eukaryota; Viridiplantae; Streptophyta; Magnoliopsida; Brassicales; Brassicaceae. The record is from RNAcentral.
ACCGAUACAAAUGUUAUGACCAA